This 292-nucleotide ribosomal RNA is filed under the name uncultured bacterium. Its description in RNAcentral is "partial 16S ribosomal RNA". It matches the Rfam family "Bacterial small subunit ribosomal RNA", at positions 505 to 796 of the family's 1533-position model. The record is from RNAcentral.
GUGUCAGCAGCCGCGGUAAUACGUAGGGUGCGAGCGUUGUCCGGAAUUAUUGGGCGUAAAGAGCUCGUAGGCGGCUUGUCGCGUCGGAUGUGAAAGCCCGGGGCUUAACUCCGGGUCUGCAUUCGAUACGGGCAGGCUAGAGUUCGGUAGGGGAGAUCGGAAUUCCUGGUGUAGCGGUGAAAUGCGCAGAUAUCAGGAGGAACACCGGUGGCGAAGGCGGAUCUCUGGGCCGAUACUGACGCUGAGGAGCGAAAGCGUGGGGAGCGAACAGGAUUAGAAACCCGAGUAGUCC